AUUUGACCCAUAACUUAAUUCUCAAUCAAAUUAGUCUAUAUGUUCAAUCAAAUUAAGUACUUCCAAAUUGGACAUAUAAACAUAGGUCAAUACUUUCCUACGAUGUCUGAUUUUUGUAUGUGACUCUAUAGGUUCGAAUACUAAGCCGAUAGCACAGGAACUAUUUUUUACACUAAUUGAAGAUACCAUCUAGCAAUAGUUUUCGAUGUAUGGAUAGGUUGAAUAAUUAUAAAAAAAUAUUUUAGAAUC
This 249-nucleotide long non-coding RNA is filed under the name Elaeis guineensis (African oil palm). Its description in RNAcentral is "long non-coding RNA (EGUI_LNC069763)". Lineage: Eukaryota; Viridiplantae; Streptophyta; Magnoliopsida; Arecales; Arecaceae. The record is from RNAcentral.